UACUUUUCAGUAAAGUGCACAUCAUCGGU
This 29-nucleotide small RNA is filed under the name Bombyx mori (domestic silkworm). RNAcentral describes it as "ovarian small RNA-21721". The record is from RNAcentral. Lineage: Eukaryota; Metazoa; Arthropoda; Insecta; Lepidoptera; Bombycidae.